This 86-nucleotide non-coding RNA is filed under the name Sodalis sp. TME1. The record is from RNAcentral. Lineage: Bacteria; Pseudomonadati; Pseudomonadota; Gammaproteobacteria; Enterobacterales; Bruguierivoracaceae.
CUCAAUGGUGAGCUGGAUAGGGGAGCUGAAAGGCUCGCCGGUUGGUUGUAUCCGGUAGUAUCAACCCUGUUCAGUUCACCACCAAU